RNAcentral lists this ribosomal RNA (550 nucleotides) under uncultured bacterium. Its description in RNAcentral is "bacterial SSU rRNA". It matches the Rfam family "Bacterial small subunit ribosomal RNA", at positions 355 to 896 of the family's 1533-position model. The record is from RNAcentral.
UGGGGAAUCUUCCGCAAUGGACGAAAGUCUGACGGAGCAACGCCGCGUGAGUGAUGACGGCCUUCGGGUUGUAAAGCUCUGUUAAUCGGGACGAAAGGCCUUCUUGCGAAUAGUGAGAAGGAUUGACGGUACCGGAAUAGAAAGCCACGGCUAACUACGUGCCAGCAGCCGCGGUAAUACGUAGGUGGCAAGCGUUGUCCGGAAUUAUUGGGCGUAAAGCGCGCGCAGGCGGAUAGGUCAGUCUGUCUUAAAAGUUCGGGGCUUAACCCCGUGAUGGGAUGGAAACUGCCAAUCUAGAGUAUCGGAGAGGAAAGUGGAACUCCUAGUGUAGCGGUGAAAUGCGUAGAUAUUAGGAAGAACACCAGUGGCGAAGGCGACUUUCUGGACGAAAACUGACGCUGAGGCGCGAAAGCCAGGGGAGCGAACGGGAUUAGAUACCCCGGUAGUCCUGGCCGUAAACGAUGAGUACUAGGUGUAGGAGGUAUCGACCCCUUCUGUGCCGGAGUUAACGCAAUAAGUACCCCGCCUGGGGAGUACGACCGCAAGGUUG